Molecule: ribosomal RNA, 492 nt
Filed under: uncultured bacterium
Lineage: Bacteria
Description: partial 16S ribosomal RNA
Rfam family: Bacterial small subunit ribosomal RNA
Source: RNAcentral
AGUGAACGCUGGCGGUAGGCCUAACACAUGCAAGUCGAACGGCAGCACAGUAAGAGCUUGCUCUUACGGGUGGCGAGUGGCGGACGGGUGAGGAAUACAUCGGAAUCUACUUUUUCAUGGGGGAUAACGUAGGGAAACUUACGCUAAUACCGCAUACGACCUACGGGUGAAAGCAGGGGAUCUUCGGACCUUGCGCGAUUGAAUGAGCCGAUGUCGGAUUAGCUAGUUGGCGGGGUAAAGGCCCACCAAGGCGACGAUCCGUAGCUGGUCUGAGAGGAUGAUCAGCCACACUGGAACUGAGACACGGUCCAGACUCCUACGGGAGGCAGCAGUGGGAAAUAUUGGACAAUGGGCGCAAGCCUGAUCCAGCCAUACCGCGUGGGUGAAGAAGGCCUUCGGGUUGUAAAGCCCUUUUGUUGGGAAAGAAAAGCAGCAGGUUAAUACCCCGCUGUUCUGACGGUACCCAAAGAAUAAGCACCGGCUAACUUCGUG